ACUAAAUAGAUACCCAGGUAGUCCACGCCCUAAACGAUGUCUACUAGUUGUUGGUGGAGUAAAAUCCAUGAGUAAACGCAGCUAAACGCGUGAAGUAGACCGCCUGGGGAGUACGGUCGCAAGAUUAAAACUCAAAGGAAUUGACGGGGCCGCACAAGCGGUGGAUUAUGUGGAUUAAAUUCGAUGCAACGCGAAAAACCUUAACCUGGCCUUGACAUGCCACUAACGAAGCAGAGAUGCAUUAGGUGCCCGUAACGGGAAAGUGGACACAGGUGCUGCAUGGCUGUCGUCAGCUCGUGUCGUGAGAUGUUGGGUUAAGUCCCGCAACGAGCGCAACCCUUGCCAUUAAUUGCCAUCA
Molecule: ribosomal RNA, 358 nt
Filed under: uncultured bacterium
Lineage: Bacteria
Description: bacterial SSU rRNA
Rfam family: Bacterial small subunit ribosomal RNA
Source: RNAcentral